GAUGAACGCUGGCGGCGUGCCUAAUACAUGCAAGUCGAGCGAACAGGCGAGGAGCUUGCUCCUCUGACGUUAGCGGCGGACGGGUGAGUAACACGUGGAUAACCUACCUAUAAGACUGGGAUAACUUCGGGAAACCGGAGCUAAUACCGGAUAAUAUAUUGAACCGCAUGGUUCAAUAGUGAAAGACGGUUUUGCUGUCACUUAUAGAUGGAUCCGCGCCGCAUUAGCUAGUUGGUAAGGUAACGGCUUACCAAGGCAACGAUGCGUAGCCGACCUGAGAGGGUGAUCGGCCACACUGGAACUGAGACACGGUCCAGACUCCUACGGGAGGCAGCAGUAGGCAAUCUUCCGCAAUGGGCGAAAGCUUGACGGAGCAACGCCGCGUGAGUGAUGAAGGUCUUCGGAUCGUAAAACUCUGUUAUUAGGGAAGAACAAAUGUGUAAGUAACUAUGCACGUCUUGACGGUACCUAAUCAGAAAGCCACGGCUAACUACGUG
Molecule: ribosomal RNA, 497 nt
Filed under: uncultured bacterium
Lineage: Bacteria
Description: partial 16S ribosomal RNA
Rfam family: Bacterial small subunit ribosomal RNA
Source: RNAcentral